RNAcentral lists this ribosomal RNA (483 nucleotides) under uncultured bacterium. RNAcentral's name for it is "bacterial SSU rRNA". It matches the Rfam family "Bacterial small subunit ribosomal RNA", at positions 28 to 534 of the family's 1533-position model. The record is from RNAcentral.
GACGAACGCUGGCGGCGUGCUUAACACAUGCAAGUCGAACGGGAGUAUUGAAGAAGCUUGCUUUAGAGAUACUUUAGUGGCGGACGGGUGAGUAACGCGUGAGGAGCUGUCCUAUGCAGGGGGACAACAGCUGGAAACGGCUGCUAAUACCCCAUAAGCCGAGAGGUAAAAGGAUCAAUCCGGCAGAGGAGGUACUCGCGUCCUAUCAGCUAGUAGGUGAGGUAACGGCUCACCUAGGCGAAGACGGGUAGCCGGCCUGAGAGGGCGAACGGCCACACUGGAACUGAGAUACGGUCCAGACUCCUACGGGAGGCAGCAGUGGGGAAUAUUGGGCAAUGGGGGAAACCCUGACCCAGCGACGCCGCGUGGGUGAAGAAAUCCUUCGGGAUGUAAAGCCCUGUUGUAUGGGAAGAGCGGAAGACGGUACCAUACGAGGAAGCCCCGGCAAACUACGUGCCAGCAGCCGCGGUAAAACGUCUGCUG